This 253-nucleotide ribosomal RNA is filed under the name uncultured bacterium. RNAcentral's name for it is "partial 16S ribosomal RNA". It matches the Rfam family "Bacterial small subunit ribosomal RNA", at positions 524 to 776 of the family's 1533-position model. The record is from RNAcentral.
UACGUAGGUGGCGAGCGUUGUCCGGAUUUACUGGGCGUAAAGAGCGCGCAGGCGGUCGUACAAGUCGCGUGUGAAAGCCCCCGGCUCAACUGGGGGGGGUCACGCGAUACUGUUCGACUCGAAGGCAGGAGAGGGAAGUGGAAUUCCCGGUGUAGUGGUGAAAUGCGUAGAUAUCGGGAGGAACACCAGUGGCGAAGGCGACUUCCUGGCCUGUUCUUGACGCUGAGGCGCGAAAGCUAGGGUAGCAAACGGG